Molecule: long non-coding RNA, 206 nt
Filed under: Prunus persica (peach)
Lineage: Eukaryota; Viridiplantae; Streptophyta; Magnoliopsida; Rosales; Rosaceae
Description: long non-coding RNA (PPER_LNC004413)
Source: RNAcentral
UCACGUCAACAAAUAGGUGGUUGGGAAAAGGGGAAUAGAUGCUAGUGGGAAGAAAAAUAAAAUGAAUAAAUAAAAAUUGGGGUUUUUGGAAGGUGGUAACGAAAUAAAAAAAAACAAGGAUAGUUUAUGGGAAAACAAAGGGUGGAGAUUGUGAGAGAGGAGAGGGAAAUGAGAUAUAGGGAUGUAGAAAUAAAAAAAGAAAAAUC